AGCCCGUGGAGACUGCUCCAUCCCCGGCUCACACACUCCUCCACACGGCUCACACUGCUGAGGAGGCUGGACAGAGAGGGGACCCCGCUGGAGGACUUCGAGCAUGAAUCUACCAUCAAGGCAUCGAUCCACACCUUUAAACCAACCCAGAGGAAAACAAACGGAGAGCGCUUUUAACACCACAUCUGUUUGUUUGUUUGUUCCAUCGUUAGAAGCGAUGCACCUAGAAAUCACUCUAUAAACUGUCACAUGUUGGUGAAAUCUCAGCGCUGCUGGAUCCUUGGUUUUUUAUCUCUCUCUCUGAGCUGAUUUUUUUAUUUUUAUUUGGAACACCGCAGUGACCGAGCUUUUCCAGACGUUUUUUUUAAAAAAAAUUUUCUCCCAUAAAGACUUUACACUUGCAGUCAUGAUCCGGAGCGCUCGGAGUGACAGAGAGGGGAGAAGAGCCAGACUGUGCCCGGAGAUGCUCACCCUGUCCGGGCUGCUGCUCUGGCUGCUGCUGCUGGAUGUCGGCGGAGCUCAAGUUGAUGAUGACUUCAUUGGUCUGGGUGAAUUGCCAGAAACAUUUCCUUCGGAUCCCCCAGAGCCACUUCCAGUGUUUUUGAUGGAACCGGAGGAAGCCUACAUAGUCAAGAAUAAGCCAGUCAACCUGUACUGCAAAGCCACACCUGCCACUCAGAUCUACUUCAAGUGCAACAGUGAAUGGGUUCACCAGAAGGAGCACACCGUGGAAGAGAGGGUCGACGAGAACUCUGGGCUCGUGGUGAGAGAGGCCAGCAUUGAAAUCACUCGUCAGCAGGUGGAGGAGCUGUUUGGGCCGGAGGACUUCUGGUGUCAGUGUGUGGCCUGGAGCUCCGCUGGGACCACCAAGAGCCGUAAAGCUCAUGUUCGCAUUGCCUAUUUGAGGAAGACUUUUGACCAAGAACCUCUGGGAAAGGAGGUUUCACUCGAACAGGAAGUGUUGCUGCAGUGUCGCCCACCUGAAGGCAUCCCAGCUGCUGAGGUGGAGUGGCUGAAAAAUGAGGAAGUUAUCGAUCCUGCUGAUGACAGAAACUUCUACAUCACCAUCGACCACAACCUGAUUAUCAAACAGGCCCGUCUCUCAGACACUGCCAACUAUACCUGUGUGGCUAAAAACAUCGUGGCAAAAAGAAGAAGCACAACCGCCACAGUCAUCGUAUACGUGAAUGGUGGAUGGUCAACCUGGACAGAGUGGUCAGUGUGUAACAGCCGCUGCGGCCGUGGUUACCAAAAGCGCACACGCAGCUGCACCAACCCGGCGCCUCUCAAUGGCGGAGCCAUCUGCGAAGGUCAAGGCAUCCAGAAGCUACCAUGUAAUCCUCUCUGCCCAGUGGAUGGCCUAUGGACAGAGUGGAGUAAGUGGUCCACCUGUGGGACAGAGUGCACCCACUGGAGGAGGAGAGAAUGCAGCGCCCCAGCUCCUAAAAAUGGGGGAAAGGACUGUGAGGGCCUGGUGCUGCAGUCCAAGAACUGCACCGAUGGGCUGUGCAUGCAGAUGGCCCCCAGCACGGAUGAUGUGGCUCUCUAUGUGGGUAUUGUCAUCGCCGUGAUCAUGUGUCUGGUUAUCUCCCUGGCCGUGGCGCUAUUCGUCUACAGGAAAAACCACAGAGACUUUAACUCUGACAUCAUCGACUCCUCCGCCCUCAAUGGAGGCUUUCAACCAGUCAGCAUCAAGACAGCACGCAAAGCGGAUCUCCUCACAGCACCCCCUGAUCUGACCUCAGCAGCUGCAAUGUACCGCGGCCCCGUUUACGCCCUUCACGACGUGGCUGACAAAAUCCCCAUGACCAACUCCCCUCUGCUGGACCCGCUUCCAAACUUGAAGAUUAAGGUGUACAACUCCUCAGGUUUGGUGACCCCACAGGAUGACCUGGGAGGGGAAUUAUCCUCUAAGCUGUCACCUAAACUGCCGCACUGCCUGCUGGAUCACAGUGACGGCACCAUGGGCCGCCGCACACAGACCCAGACACUGCUCCGUGGCAGGGACCCAUCCUGCACCGCUCUGGGCUCCUUCAGCUCCCAGGGGGGCCACCUCAUUGUACCCAACUCAGGUAACAUUUACUCAGGAUACUCUGUGUAUUUUGAUCCCAAAAAAACAAAAAAUAGCUACAAAUAUUCCUAUGCUAGCCUUGUGAUGUUGGCUCAACGUUGGCUCAUUACACCUGGUGUCUUCUCUCAUUGGCAGGAUUCUCAGAACAUAGACACGUCUCUGUUGGACCCUGCCAGCAACAUCACGUCACUCGUGGGGCCAAACGCCUUCCGUAUCCCCGUCUCCAUCCGACAGAAGUUGUGUGGCAGCCUGGAUGCUCCGCAGACCAGAGGCAAUGACUGGAGGAUGUUAGCCCACAAACUGAACCUUGACAGGUAUCUGAACUACUUUGCUACCAAAUCCAGCCCUACAGGAGUGAUCCUAGACCUGUGGGAGGCUCAGCAUUUUCCUGACGGCAACCUCAGCCGCCUUGCCCAAGUGUUGGAGGAGAUGGGACGCCACGACGGCCUUCUUCCUGCCAUGAUGGAGCACUGACAUCUAACCCUCCAGGGGAUGUGACAUUCCAGGGAGGAAGAAGACUCCAAAUGGAUCGGAAAAUGGAGGCUCCUAUAAGCAGGAGAGUGGUGUGGCAUCUCAGUGACAAACACACACACACACACACACACUCAAAGAUGUGAGAUGACGGGAAGAGCCAUGACCCAGUUAGACACCGGCAACAAAUGGUGUAAAAACAACCUUGUGGAGUAAACAACAUUCCCUGGCUGUUCCCUUUUCUCUCAACACACGUCAAACAUUGACUUCAGAUUUUUUGGCUUGUUUUGAUGGACUCUCGGUAUAACAGGAGACAAAUGUCAGAGGUCCGAAAAAAAGUCAAAAGAUGAAGAUUUUGUCAGCGGGACCAUCUCUCAGGCUUCUAAACAGUUUCCAUAGCAACUCCCCAUGGACAAGGAUGUACUUUCUGAUAAGAUGGUAUUUAAUUUCCAGCUUAUUUAUGCAUAUCUGAUAUCGUAUUUCAUGCUCUCUGUUGCUGAACACUUUGCAGUGUAAAGGUUUGUGUUCCUUUUAUUAUGUUGAACUGUAUCACAGCACCACCUGGUGGCCUUCUGGUGCUAGAACAACUCAUUCUGUCUGCCACAUUUAGAAAAAAUCAACAAUCAAGUUAGAAUUUUAGUGUCAUUGCUGUUGAUGACAAUUUUAUAUUUGUGUUAUUGAAAUUAUUGAUGCUGUUAGGUGCAUUUCUUUUAUAUUGUUUUUUUUUUCUUUUUUAAAGGGUUAUUAAUUAUUUUUAACAUUCUGAAUUGUUGAUCAUGUUUCUUUAAUCUGUGACUUUGUAUUUCUUGGCAACUUACAUUUCUACGAUUUAUAGAGCAGUCAAAACAUUUCCCAAAACAUGCAGAUGACUUAACAUUCUGUUUAAAGAUGAUAUUACUCAUGCUAACUGUGCCAGGCAGACGAGGACACUUUAGAACAAGAUAUUUAAAAUAUAUUUUUAUAAAAAGAAACAAGUGCAAGAGAAAGCAACUGCUUUUUACCAAAUAAUUCACACGCAUACGAUGUUUUGAGGGUGAAUUCACGACAGAAAGGGUUCAUUUCCCAUUAGGAUCACUGAGAUUGUAACUCAGUGUUUCUGAUAAUGUUCAGGAUGUUUGUAGACUUAUAACAGCAGAAUGUGCGACUUUUCAAGUGUUCUUUGUUGGCCAUUAAACUUGAUUCAGUUUUCUAAGUUGUUAGAGUUCUUGUAAAGCUGUCUAUGCAAACUGUGCAUCCUUUGAAAACAAUCUUUUCACACUCGGCAAAUUCUCUAUGGUUCUUCUUCUGCUUUCUUAUUGUUGUGUAUAGUGAGAAUGUAGCCUGUCUGUUUCUGGCACUCAGCAUCUAUCCGUCAAGGUAUUGUACAAAGUGUAAGAAAGAUUUUUUUUUUUUUAAUUAUUAUUAUUAAUAAUAAUAAAUUAUAUUUAUAUGCAACA
Gouania willdenowi (blunt-snouted clingfish) is the source of this 3978-nucleotide long non-coding RNA. Ensembl annotates it as netrin receptor UNC5C-like. The record is from Ensembl. Lineage: Eukaryota; Metazoa; Chordata; Actinopteri; Blenniiformes; Gobiesocidae.